RNAcentral lists this microRNA precursor (102 nucleotides) under Marmota monax (woodchuck). Lineage: Eukaryota; Metazoa; Chordata; Mammalia; Rodentia; Sciuridae. The record is from RNAcentral.
AAUGGAAUUGAUGAGUCAGAUGGUAAUCUGUGUUUAACUUUCUGAGGAAUUGCCAAACUGUUUACUACAGUAGUUGAACCAUUUUACAUUCCCACUAAUAAU